Molecule: ribosomal RNA, 527 nt
Filed under: uncultured Alphaproteobacteria bacterium
Lineage: Bacteria; Pseudomonadati; Pseudomonadota; Alphaproteobacteria
Description: bacterial SSU rRNA
Rfam family: Bacterial small subunit ribosomal RNA
Source: RNAcentral
UGAGUUUGAUUCUGGCUCAGGAUGAACGCUAGUAGUAUGCUUAACACAUGCAAGUCUAACGGAAAUUUUUUUCGUGGCGUACGGGUGAGUAAAUGCAGAAUUUUCCCUUUUAGUUCAGAACAAAUAUUCCUUCGGGUAAUAAAAUACUGAAUACGUUUAAAGGUUUUUUCCGCUAAAAGAUAAAUCUGCUUAAGAUUAGGUUGUUGGUAAUUUAAAAGCUUACCAAGCCUAUAAUCUUUAGUUGGUCUGAGAGGAUGACCAACCACACUGGAACUGAAAUAAGGUCCAGGCUAAUACGUUGGCCAGCAGUGAGGAAUAUUGGACAAUGAACGAAAGUUUGAUCCAGCAAUACUAAUUGGGUGAUGACGGCUUAUUUAAGUUGUAAGAUCCUUUGAUUAAAAAAGAUAAUGACAUUAUUUAAUUGAAUUAGUCCUGGCUAAUACUCGUGCCAGCAGCCGCGGUAAUACGGGAAGGGCAAGCGUUAUCCGGCAUGACUGGGCGUAAAGAGUCCGUAGACUGUAAAGUAA